This 497-nucleotide ribosomal RNA is filed under the name uncultured bacterium. RNAcentral's name for it is "partial 16S ribosomal RNA". It matches the Rfam family "Bacterial small subunit ribosomal RNA", at positions 28 to 507 of the family's 1533-position model. The record is from RNAcentral.
GAUGAACGCUGGCGGCGUGCCUAAUACAUGCAAGUCGAGCGAACAGACGAGGAGCUUGCUCCUCUGACGUUAGCGGCGGACGGGUGAGUAACACGUGGAUAACCUACCUAUAAGACUGGGAUAACUUCGGGAAACCGGAGCUAAUACCGGAUAAUAUAUUGAACCGCAUGGUUCAAUAGUGAAAGACGGUUUUGCUGUCACUUAUAGAUGGAUCCGCGCCGCAUUAGCUAGUUGGUAAGGUAACGGCUUACCAAGGCAACGAUGCGUAGCCGACCUGAGAGGGUGAACGGCCACACUGGAACUGAGACGCGGUCCAGACUCCUACGGGAGGCAGCAGUAGGGAAUCUUCCGCAAUGGGCGAAAGCUUGACGGAGCAACGCCGCGUGAGUGAUGAAGGUCUUCGGAUCGUAAAACUCUGUUAUUAGGGAAGAACAAAUGUGUAAGUAACUAUGCACGUCUUGACGGUACCUAAUCAGAAAGCCACGGCUAACUACGUG